AUGGACUUCCUGCUCUCUUCUACUACAGGUCAUCUAAAGUGUAUGGACUUCCUGCUCUCUUCUACUACAGGUCAUCUAAAGUGUAUGGACUUCCUGCUGUUUUUUUUACAGUUAAUUUACUUCCUGCUCUCUUCUUCUUCUACAGAUCAUCUAAAGUGUAUGGACUUCCUGCUGUCUUCUACUACAGAUCAUCUAAAGUGUAUGGACUUCCUGCUGUCUUCUUCUUCUACAGGUCAUCUAAAGUGUAUGGACUUCCUGCUGUCUUCUUCUUCUACAGGUCAUCUAAAGUGUAUGGACUUCCUGCUGUCUUCUUCUACUACAUGUCAUCUAAAGUGUAUGGACUUCCUGCUGUCUUCUUCUUCUACAGGUCAUCUAAAGUGUAUGGACUUCCUGCUCUCUUCUUCUUCUACAGGUCAUCUAAAGUGUAUGGACUUCCUGCUGUCUUCUUCUUCUACAGGUGGACUUCCUGCUGUCUUGCCAUUGACUGCAUUGUUGUUUCCACCAGCAGGACAACAUGAGUGGAGAGAAGGAAACAUUGUUGGAAGAAAUGGAACAGAGUUUACACCCUCUAACGGAGGAUAAUUUACGACACCUGUGUGAGCGCUGUGGAAUAGAUGGCUCCCAAGUUAAAGGAAAGAACCAUCGCUCGUUGCGACGUAAAAUCAUGGAGGAAAUGUGGGAAAAUGCAGAUUCAGUCAAAUCGGAGGAGCUUGGAAUGUCUUGGUUACUCCGACUGAAAGAUGACAUCAGAAAGAUGCAUGAAGAAUCUACUGUGGCACCCAUGAGUUCCAGCCAGUCUGAUGAUGACGACGACGAUGCUACAACCUGCGGCGAGGAAUGGGACAAGGAUUGGUUUCCUAGCAACGGGCUGGAGGCGGAGUCAUCUCCAGAGAGCCAUACCCCAGAGAGUUCCAGCCAGUCUGAUGAUGACGAAACGGGUAAGAAGAAUGGGGUCGCGGCAGGGGUCCAUGUGGGUCACGGGAUGAAAAUAGCAAUGAUAAAAAAUACAUUUUAUAAAUAGAUCUCCGGGAUGGAAGAGCGCUGUUAGUGUAAACGACUGAAACCAAAUAAAAUAUGUAGAAAAAAAGAAUGGAGGAAAAGGGUUAGGGUUAUAUAUAUAUAUAUAUAUAUAUCUUUUUUUUCUCCAUAUAUACUUUUCAAUAAUAGGCUGUGAUCUAUGAAGAACUUUUGAAAGAGAAAAAGCUCCUAGACAAUCGGGCCCUUUGAUAGAGUUCUAAUGUUUGAGCAUAAGAAUACAGCAUUAGCCCAUGUCACAAUGGGUAGAAUUGUAGGAAAUGAUCUUAAAACGGCAACAUGUUCUUUCAGUUCCAUAUGGCAGUGUGUGUGUAUAUGUUUUCACUGCCCAACCCUUAUUGGUUGGUUGUGACUCGAUACAUCUGUAUUGGUGGGUCAAGAAGCAAAAAAAAAAAAAAAACUACAAUCUGCUUCUGUAACAGUUCAUUGAUUGGUCAAUAUUUAUUAAUUGACCCGAAUUUGCUCAACGUAACUAUUCAAUGUUGUAUAGCAGCUCAUCUGUGUUGGAUGGGGAAGAUACUUCAACACUAGGUCAUUGUUAAGUACUUUGGUGCAUGUGAGGAACCUUAACUUCAUAUCUCUGUUUCACAGGGGACAACCCUAACGGUCGCUCGCUCAGUGGGAGGGUCUUAUCGUCUGGGAAGGCUCCAGGGUUGAAAGUGAUCCAGCGACCUUAUAGCUGUGAUGUAUGUGAGAAGAGUUUCACUCAAUCAGGAAACCUACGAAGACACCAAACGGUACACACAGGAGAGAAACCUUGCAGUUGUGAUCAUUGUGGGAAGAGUUUUGCUCAUCCAGGAGCCCUGACUAUUCACAAGCAUGUACACACAGGAGAGAAACCUUACAGCUGUGAUCAGUGUGGGAAAAGCUUUUCUCAUCCAGGAGCCCUGACUAUUCACAAGCGUGUACACACUGGAGAGAAACCUUACAGCUGUGAUCAAUGUGAGAGGAGCUGCAGAGAUG
This is a long non-coding RNA of Oncorhynchus mykiss (rainbow trout), 1998 nucleotides long. NCBI's taxonomy places the organism in Eukaryota, Metazoa, Chordata, Actinopteri, Salmoniformes, Salmonidae. The record is from Ensembl.